GUCUAUGGCCAUGCCACCCUGAACGAGCCUGAUGUCUGAUCUCAGAAGCUAAGCAGGGUCGGGCCUGGUUAGUACUUGGAUGGGAGACCACCUAGAAAGACCAGGUGUUGUAGCUG
This 116-nucleotide ribosomal RNA is filed under the name Pteropus alecto (black flying fox). Lineage: Eukaryota; Metazoa; Chordata; Mammalia; Chiroptera; Pteropodidae. The record is from RNAcentral.